GUGCUUGCUUCGGCAGCACAUAUACUAAAAUUGGAACGAUACAGAGAAGAUUAGGAAAAAAAAAAAAGAUACCUCUUGGGAUGUCAGCAUGGGUUCCAGUAUGGCUCCACUGGCUUGGUUUUUUGUUUUUUUUUU
This is a small nuclear RNA of Oryctolagus cuniculus (rabbit), 135 nucleotides long. NCBI's taxonomy places the organism in Eukaryota, Metazoa, Chordata, Mammalia, Lagomorpha, Leporidae. The record is from Ensembl.